Zalophus californianus (California sea lion) is the source of this 610-nucleotide long non-coding RNA. RefSeq lists it as uncharacterized. The transcript has 3 exons. The record is from RefSeq and is a predicted model, not a curated record. Lineage: Eukaryota; Metazoa; Chordata; Mammalia; Carnivora; Otariidae.
AAGUAGACUGUCUUGGUGGGGAAAAUACCUCUAGCCAGUAAGAAUUCCAUAUUGUAUGGGGAGGCAUUCCGCAGAAGACAGGUGUGAAACAUAUCCGCAUGGGUCAGAGCACCUGGACAAGGUUGUGCCAAGCCAUGUCAUAAAAUCAUGGACUGUCAGACUGAAUCAAAAGAAGAACAUCAUCUAAAGUAUACACAACUAUAAAUAACCCCUUCCUGGGUCCCCUGCCUGAUGCGACUUGGAGGUGGCUACCCAUAAAGCCGGCAGAAUGGGGUUUCAAUUGGGAGCAAUGACAGCUUAAUGGAGUCGGGAAACUUAGUACUUAACCCAUGGCUAGCUUUCAAAAUGUCCUUUUGCCUGAGCUGACCUGAAGUGGAUUGUCUCCUCCAUCCCUGCCCACCAUCUGCAGCCCCACCCAUCUCAGAGGGGGGCCCAGGAGGCCGAGUCUGGGUUGCAUCACUACUGGAAGGAACCAGCCCUGAAGGUGAUUCUGCUGCCCGGUACAGAUGGUGAGCCCCUACAUGCUCCGGAGACCAGCCACUCCAGACAGGAGGUCUGUUUCAUCUAAUCCCUGGAAAUGAGAUUCUUCCCCUUCAACAGUACAAUGACG